Molecule: transfer RNA, 87 nt
Filed under: Candidatus Babelota bacterium
Lineage: Bacteria
Description: Candidatus Dependentiae bacterium tRNA-Leu
Rfam family: tRNA
About the family: Transfer RNA (tRNA) molecules are approximately 80 nucleotides in length. Their secondary structure includes four short double-helical elements and three loops (D, anti-codon, and T loops).
Source: RNAcentral
GUCGAAGUGGUGAAAUUGGUAGACACGCUAGAUUCAGAGUCUAGUCCAGGUAACUGGGUAGGGGUUCAAGUCCCCUCUUCGGCACCA